UACGGAGGAUCCGAGCGUUAUCCGGAUUUAUUGGGUUUAAAGGGUGCGCAGGCGGGAGAUUAAGUCGGAGGUGAAAUUUUGCAGCUCAACUGUAAAAGUGCCUUCGAAACUGGUUUCCUUGAGUGUGGAUGAAGUAGGCGGAAUUUGUGGUGUAGCGGUGAAAUGCAUAGAUAUCACGAGGAACUCCGAUUGCGCAGGCAGCUUACUAAGCCAUAACUGACGCUCAGGCACGAAGGCGUGGGGAUCAAACAGGAUUAGAUACCCGCGUA
Molecule: ribosomal RNA, 269 nt
Filed under: uncultured prokaryote
Description: partial 16S ribosomal RNA
Rfam family: Bacterial small subunit ribosomal RNA
Source: RNAcentral